Molecule: ribosomal RNA, 1134 nt
Filed under: Escherichia coli
Lineage: Bacteria; Pseudomonadati; Pseudomonadota; Gammaproteobacteria; Enterobacterales; Enterobacteriaceae
Description: partial 23S ribosomal RNA
Rfam family: Bacterial large subunit ribosomal RNA
Source: RNAcentral
UGUAUAAUGGGUCAGCGACUUAUAUUCUGUAGCAAGGUUAACCGAAUAGGGGAGCCGAAGGGAAACCGAGUCUUAACUGGGCGUUAAGUUGCAGGGUAUAGACCCGAAACCCGGUGAUCUAGCCAUGGGCAGGUUGAAGGUUGGGUAACACUAACUGGAGGACCGAACCGACUAAUGUUGAAAAAUUAGCGGAUGACUUGUGGCUGGGGGUGAAAGGCCAAUCAAACCGGGAGAUAGCUGGUUCUCCCCGAAAGCUAUUUAGGUAGCGCCUCGUGAAUUCAUCUCCGGGGGUAGAGCACUGUUUCGGCAAGGGGGUCAUCCCGACUUACCAACCCGAUGCAAACUGCGAAUACCGGAGAAUGUUAUCACGGGAGACACACGGCGGGUGCUAACGUCCGUCGUGAAGAGGGAAACAACCCAGACCGCCAGCUAAGGUCCCAAAGUCAUGGUUAAGUGGGAAACGAUGUGGGAAGGCCCAGACAGCCAGGAUGUUGGCUUAGAAGCAGCCAUCAUUUAAAGAAAGCGUAAUAGCUCACUGGUCGAGUCGGCCUGCGCGGAAGAUGUAACGGGGCUAAACCAUGCACCGAAGCUGCGGCAGCGACACUGUGUGUUGUUGGGUAGGGGAGCGUUCUGUAAGCCUGUGAAGGUGUACUGUGAGGUAUGCUGGAGGUAUCAGAAGUGCGAAUGCUGACAUAAGUAACGAUAAAGCGGGUGAAAAGCCCGCUCGCCGGAAGACCAAGGGUUCCUGUCCAACGUUAAUCGGGGCAGGGUGAGUCGACCCCUAAGGCGAGGCCGAAAGGCGUAGUCGAUGGGAAACAGGUUAAUAUUCCUGUACUUGGUGUUACUGCGAAGGGGGGACGGAGAAGGCUAUGUUGGCCGGGCGACGGUUGUCCCGGUUUAAGCGUGUAGGCUGGUUUUCCAGGCAAAUCCGGAAAAUCAAGGCUGAGGCGUGAUGACGAGGCACUACGGUGCUGAAGCAACAAAUGCCCUGCUUCCAGGAAAAGCCUCUAAGCAUCAGGUAACAUCAAAUCGUACCCCAAACCGACACAGGUGGUCAGGUAGAGAAUACCAAGGCGCUUGAGAGAACUCGGGUGAAGGAACUAGGCAAAAUGGUGCCGUAACUUCGGGAGAAGG